This 397-nucleotide ribosomal RNA is filed under the name uncultured bacterium. RNAcentral describes it as "partial 16S ribosomal RNA". It matches the Rfam family "Bacterial small subunit ribosomal RNA", at positions 523 to 918 of the family's 1533-position model. The record is from RNAcentral.
AUACGUAGGUGACAAGCGUUAUCCGGAUUUACUGGGCGUAAAGGGCGUGUAGGCGGUCUUGCAAGUCAGAAGUGAAAUUCCUGAGCUCAACUCGGGCGCUGCUUCUGAUACUGCAGGACUUGAGUGCUGGAGAGGAUAGCGGAAUUCCUAGUGGAGCGGUGAAAUGCGCAGAUAUUAGGAAGAACACCGGUGGGGAAGGCGGCUAUCUGGACAGAAACUGACGCUGGAGCGCGAAAGCGUGGGGAGCAAACAGGAUUAAAUACCCUGGUAGUCCACGCCGUAAACGAUGAAUUCUAGGUGUAGGGGGUAUCGACUCCCUCUGUGCCGCAGUUAACACAAUAAGUAUUCCGCCUGGGGAGUACGGCCGCAAGGUUGAAACUCAAAUGAAUUGGCGGGG